Molecule: ribosomal RNA, 223 nt
Filed under: uncultured bacterium
Lineage: Bacteria
Description: partial 16S ribosomal RNA
Rfam family: Bacterial small subunit ribosomal RNA
Source: RNAcentral
UACGGAGGGGGCUAGCGUUGUUCGGAAUUACUGGGCGUAAAGCGUGCGCAGGCGGCUAUGCAAGACAGAUGUGAAAUCCCCGGGCUCAACCUGGGAACUGCAUUUGUGACUGCAUAGCGUAGAGUACGGUAGAGGGGGAUGGAAUUCCGCGUGUAGCAGUGAAAUGCGUAGAUAUGCGGAGGAACACCGAGUGGCGAAGGCAAUCCCCUGGACCUGUACUGAC